Molecule: ribosomal RNA, 253 nt
Filed under: uncultured bacterium
Lineage: Bacteria
Description: partial 16S ribosomal RNA
Rfam family: Bacterial small subunit ribosomal RNA
Source: RNAcentral
UACGAAGGGAGCUAGCGUUGUUCGGAAUCACUGGGCGUAAAGCGCACGUAGGCGGUUGUGUCAGUCAGGGGUGAAAUCCCGGAGCUCAACUUCGGAACUGCCUUUGAUACAGCACAUCUGGAGUCCGGAAGAGGUGGGUGGAAUUCCUAGUGUAGAGGUGAAAUUCGUAGAUAUUAGGAAGAACACCGGUGGCGAAGGCGGCCCGCUGGUCCGGUACUGACGCUGAGGUGCGAAAGCGUGGGGAGCAAACAGG